GUGGGUGUAGAGCUGUAUAUAGAGGUGUGGUGGGUGUAGAGCUGUAUAUAGAGGUGUGGUGGGUGUAGAGCUGUAUAUAGAGGUGUGGUGGGUGUAGAGCUGAAUAUAGAGGUGUGGUGGGUGUAGAGCUGAAUAUAGAGGUGUGGUGGGUGUAGAGCUGUAUAUAGAGGUGUGGUGGGUGUAGAGGUGUAUAGAGGUGUGGUGGGUGUAGAGCUGUAUAUAGUGGUGUGGUGGGUGUAGAGGUGUAUAUAGUGGUGUGGUGGGUGUAGAGCUGUAUAUAGAGGUGUGGUGGGUGUACAGGUGUAUAGAGGUGUGGUGGUUGUAGCGCUGUAUAUAGAGGUAUGGUGGGUGUACAGGUGUAUAGAGGUGUGGUGGGUGUACAGGUGUAUAGAGGUGUGGUGGGUGUACAGGUGUAUAGAGGUGUGG
RNAcentral lists this long non-coding RNA (426 nucleotides) under Salmo salar (Atlantic salmon). RNAcentral describes it as "lncRNA (ENSSSAG00000121248.1)". The record is from RNAcentral. Lineage: Eukaryota; Metazoa; Chordata; Actinopteri; Salmoniformes; Salmonidae.